CAGAUUAAGACGGAGGCACAAUAGCCACAUGCCUGGAUCCCAGUCAUGUGAUUAUGUCAAUCUCAGCUGCCAUUUACAAAUAAAUGUUUCUACCUCACAUGGCUGGAAAGAAAAGCUUGAGAAUAUCCAUUGAAUAGAACUGAGGCAGUGAUGUCUGCCCAUGUCUGCACCCAGCCUCCAGCAGGGGGAGAAGCAGCAUCCACCCCAAGAGAAGUAACUCUUUAUUCUCCACCCGGCCCUUGCUGUUCCUGGUGUGUGCCCACCCACCUUCCCAGGACUUCAACAGGGAGGUGAAUGGAUGAAAGCAAGGACUAGAAUGAAGGAGUAGCUCAUGGCUUAAAGCUAAUUCAAGUGGGAAUCCUGUUUAUUAUUCGGUCUUAUCAAUGCAAGGGGCCCUUUAUCCAUUUACUGGCUUGUUAUUAUAUCAGCCAACUCCAAAGAGAAGAAUCAAGAGGAAGGUAGCAGAUGCACACAGAGUCUAAGACUUACACCCUCCUGUACUCUCUGCUCCUAUUCAAGACAGAGCACAGCAGCCUUGCAUGUCCUGGUGCACAUCGUCCAAGGCCUAAGUGGAUGAAAAAUUAUGACCCCCACUAGCCAAGGACCAUUCAUCUAACUAACUCCUAAUUAAGUGAACAAUCAUCCUGCAAGGCAAUUUUGCAACUUGAAGCCAGUCAAUACUACUGUUCAUGCCACAGCCAGGUGAUUGGCAGCUUGGGAUUCACACUGGAUACAGAAUGCCAGCCUCUUGUGUUGGUCUCCAGUCUUCUCAUUCAGCCAGAUUAAUUAAAUAAUCAGUCCAUGUGGGAUGCAAAACUAUUUGAAGAAGUCAAAAUACUCCUCUCACUUUUCAAAUUUUGUUCUCCUGUUAUGAUUAUUUGUAUUGCAGUAGCCCCUAUGUAUCUAGAUAUGCAGAUAUGCUGAUCACCUUACAAUUUUUCAUGGAUUUUAACUUCACAAUACCUCGAUGAGAUAGGGAAAUAUUACCCCCAUUUUACAGAUGGGAAACUGAGGCACAAGGUAGCUUAAAUGAUCUGCCCAAAGUCUCACAGAAAGUUGGUAACUGAGCUUGAAAUUAAGCCAGGGUCUCUUGAGUCCCAGUGUAGUGCCCUAUGCACUACAUCAUCCUUUGUACCCCAGCAGCCCCCAACCAAUAGCAUGGCCCCAUUGUGCCAGGUGUUCCACAAAUACCUAGUGAGAGACACUCCCUGCCCUGAAAAUCUUACACUGGAAUUAGACCAGACAGAGAGAGAUGGAGAAAAGGACAGAAUUUUCAAGCAGAAAACUGGCAAAUGAGGCACACAGAGGUAAAGUGACUUGCCCAGCGU
Chelonia mydas (Green sea turtle) is the source of this 1328-nucleotide long non-coding RNA. RefSeq lists it as uncharacterized. The record is from RefSeq and is a predicted model, not a curated record. The transcript is spliced from 3 exons. Lineage: Eukaryota; Metazoa; Chordata; Testudines; Cheloniidae.